Molecule: long non-coding RNA, 811 nt
Organism: Cydia splendana
Lineage: Eukaryota; Metazoa; Arthropoda; Insecta; Lepidoptera; Tortricidae
Exons: 2
Source: RefSeq, a predicted model, not a curated record
AAUACAGUUUAUUUCUUAUUAUUACACCUUUCAAGUUGGAUUUAGCCACAUUUCUUUACCAACGGAAACUUCAGACGGAAUUUAUAAUUAACGUUUAUAACACGACACAAAUCCAUCAAGCUCCAAGAUCACUAAUUGCAACUGCAAAAACGUAUUUUAAUUCAUAAUAACAUACUUGCAUUGCUCUCCACCCCAAAGCAAAACCAACUAUAUCUUCAACUGUAUAAGAUAUCGUUUUGAAGAACCAUCAACACAGUAGAUAUGACUAUUUGUGUUGUACAAGCAUCAUAUCGCCCGGGCGCAUUAAGUCUCGAGUCACUCUCAAUCACUCAGUCUGUCCAGACGUCAGUCAUAAGCAAGACGAACGGGGGGACGCCUCCUUCCCCCCCAUCCCCCUGUGGGGGCGAGGGACUGGUCAGCUCUUGAAGACAAUUUACUGAACAAGUCGACUCGACUGGGAUUCCCGUUGAAAUUUAUUUGAUGGAAGUUGCAGUAUGCCGCGUUUUAUGGAGACACACGAAGACGGAUGCAUUCAGAACAAAACACCAACAAACAUAGAUUUUCCCAGAAACUAGACGUCCAAAGAAAGAACAAUUCAUCAACUGAAAAGAAAAACGAACGCAAACCAUAUCUUCAAAGUAAAUCUGCAUCACUGCACUCAAUCACACACAAGAUGUACUGAACCCUCUCCUAUUUAAUUGACGAGCUACUCCAUCAAAACAAUCUUGAAGUCCACAACAUACUUACAAACUACACCCCAGCCAAAGCAAAUUCAACGCUAUUCUUAAAGGAGUAAGAAUUUAAGAAUUCA